UACGUAGGGUGCGAGCGUUAAUCGGAAUUACUGGGCGUAAAGCGUGCGCAGGCGGUUUUGUAAGUCAGAUGUGAAAUCCCCGGGCUCAACCCGGGAACUGCGUCCGAUACUGGUUGGCUUGAAUCCGGGAGAGGGAUGCGGAAUUCCAGGUGUAGCGGUGAAAUGCGUAGAUAUUGGGAAGAACACCGGUGGCGAAGGCGGCGAGCUGGUCCAUUACUGACGCUGAGGCGCGAAAGCGUGGGGAGCAAACAGG
This 253-nucleotide ribosomal RNA is filed under the name uncultured prokaryote. Its description in RNAcentral is "partial 16S ribosomal RNA". It matches the Rfam family "Bacterial small subunit ribosomal RNA", at positions 524 to 776 of the family's 1533-position model. The record is from RNAcentral.